Molecule: ribosomal RNA, 403 nt
Filed under: bacterium
Lineage: Bacteria
Description: partial 16S ribosomal RNA
Rfam family: Bacterial small subunit ribosomal RNA
Source: RNAcentral
UGGGGAAUAUUGCACAAUGGGGGAAACCCUGAUGCAGCGACGCCGCGUGAACGAAGAAGAUAUUCGUAUCGUAAAGUUCUGUCCUAUGGGAAGAUAAUGACAGUACCAUAGAAGAAAGCUCCGGCUAAAUACGUGCCAGCAGCCGCGGUAAUACGUAUGGAGCGAGCGUUGUCCGGAAUUAUUGGGCGUAAAGGGUACGCAGGCGGUUUAAUAAGUCGAAUGUUAAAGAUCGGGGCUCAACCCCGCAAAGCAUUGGAAACUGAUAAACUUGAGUAGUGGAGAGGAAAGUGGAAUUCCUAGUGUAGUGGUGAAAUACGUAGAUAUUAGGAGGAAUACCAGUAGCGAAGGCGACUUUCUGGACACAAACUGACGCUGAGGUACGAAAGCGUGGGGAGCAAACAGG